This is a non-coding RNA of Chlorocebus sabaeus (green monkey), 225 nucleotides long. It matches the Rfam family "Metazoan signal recognition particle RNA". From Rfam's summary of the family: The signal recognition particle (SRP) is a universally conserved ribonucleoprotein. NCBI's taxonomy places the organism in Eukaryota, Metazoa, Chordata, Mammalia, Primates, Cercopithecidae. The record is from Rfam.
GCUGGGUGAGGUGGCAGACGCCUGUAGUCCCAGCUACUUGGGAGGCUGAGGCAGGUGGAUCACAAGGUCAGGAGAUUGAGACCAUCCUGGCUAACAGAGUGAAACCCCAUCCGUACUAAAAAUACCAAAANNNNNNNNNNUUUUGGUAUUUUUAGUACGGAUGGGGUUUCACUCUGUUAGCCAGGAUGGUCUCAAUCUCCUGACCUUGUGAUCCACCUGCCUCAG